Molecule: ribosomal RNA, 694 nt
Filed under: uncultured Bacilli bacterium
Lineage: Bacteria; Bacillati; Bacillota; Bacilli
Description: bacterial SSU rRNA
Rfam family: Bacterial small subunit ribosomal RNA
Source: RNAcentral
ACGCUGGCGGCGUGCCUAAUACAUGCAAGUCGAGCGGACCGACGGGAGCUUGCUCCCUUAGGUCAGCGGCGGACGGGUGAGUAACACGUGGGUAACCUGCCUGUAAGACUGGGAUAACUCCGGGAAACCGGGGCUAAUACCGGAUGCUUGAUUGAGCCGCAUGGUUCAAUUAUAAAAGGUGGCUUUCAGCUACCACUUACAGAUGGACCCGCGGCGCAUUAGCUAGUUGGUGAGGUAACGGCUCACCAAGGCGACGAUGCGUAGCCGACCUGAGAGGGUGAUCGGCCACACUGGGACUGAGACACGGCCCAGACUCCUACGGGAGGCAGCAGUAGGGAAUCUUCCGCAAUGGACGAAAGUCUGACGGAGCAACGCCGCGUGAGUGAUGAAGGUUUUCGGAUCGUAAAACUCUGUUGUUAGGGAAGAACAAGUACCGUUCGAAUAGGGCGGCACCUUGACGGUACCUAACCAGAAAGCCACGGCUAACUACGUGCCAGCAGCCGCGGUAAUACGUAGGUGGCAAGCGUUGUCCGGAAUUAUUGGGCGUAAAGCGCGCGCAGGCGGUUUCUUAAGUCUGAUGUGAAAGCCCCCGGCUCAACCGGGGAGGGUCAUUGGAAACUGGGGAACUUGAGUGCAGAAGAGGAGAGUGGAAUUCCACGUGUAGCGGUGAAAUGCGUAGAGAUGUGGAGGAACA